UAAUUUAUGCUAUUUUAGGCACCCCUUCAAAGUCGUGUACAUUUGAAUAUAUAUUUAGUUUAAACAAGUAACGUGACCAAUAUUUUGAAAACCAACGGAAAGGAUGUAUAACGUACACUUAACAAAUAAAAUUCAUAUCAAUAAAUAUAUAUUUAGAAAGUACCACACUUCCUGUAUUAAAUCGGCAAUCACAUGCAUUCCUAGUAGUACUUAUAAUUCGGAUACAGCUAAGCAGUAUGUGCCGCUUUUUGGAAAGUUCAAACUUGAAUAGUUUUACGUCGAAUAUAUUUUGUGACCUAAAAGAACUAG
Molecule: long non-coding RNA, 309 nt
Filed under: Mytilus galloprovincialis (Mediterranean mussel)
Lineage: Eukaryota; Metazoa; Mollusca; Bivalvia; Mytilida; Mytilidae
Source: RNAcentral